GGGGGAUUAGCUCAGAUGGAAGAGUGCUCGCUUAGCAUGCGAGAGGAAGUAGUGGAUCGAUGCCCGCAUCCUCCA
This is a non-coding RNA of Ameiurus melas (black bullhead), 75 nucleotides long. NCBI's taxonomy places the organism in Eukaryota, Metazoa, Chordata, Actinopteri, Siluriformes, Ictaluridae. The record is from the annotation of a GenBank genome assembly.